GCAUGGCUGGCUCAGUCAAAGAGCAUGUGACUCUUGAUCUCAGGGUUGUGAGUUCAAGCCCCAUGUUAGGUU
RNAcentral lists this transfer RNA (72 nucleotides) under Mustela putorius furo (domestic ferret). It matches the Rfam family "tRNA". From Rfam's summary of the family: Transfer RNA (tRNA) molecules are approximately 80 nucleotides in length. Their secondary structure includes four short double-helical elements and three loops (D, anti-codon, and T loops). Lineage: Eukaryota; Metazoa; Chordata; Mammalia; Carnivora; Mustelidae. The record is from Rfam by way of RNAcentral.